UAGUCCAUGCCGUAAACGAUGAUUACUAGCUAUUGGCGAUACACUGUCAGUGGCAAAGCGAAAGCAUUAAGUAAUCCACCUGGGAAGUACGGUCGCAAGAUUGAAACUCAAAGGAAUUGACGGGGGCCCGCACAAGCGGUGGAGCAUGUGGUUUAAUUCGAUGAUACGCGAGGAACCUUACCAGGGCUUAAAUGGAGAUUGACAGGACUGGAAACAGUUUUUUCUUCGGACAAUUUUCAAGGUGCUGCAUGGUUGUCGUCAGCUCGUGCUGUGAAGUGUCGGGUUAAGUCCCAUAACGAGCGCAACCCCUAUCUUUAGUUGCCAGCGAGUAAUGUCGGGGACUCUAGAGAAACUGCCCGUGCAGACGGUAAGGAAGGUGGGGAUGACGUCAAGUCCUCAUGGCCCUUACGGGUAGGGCUACACACGUACUACAAUGGCAGAAACAAACCGAAGCGAUAUUGCGAGAUGGAGCUAAACGGUAAAACACUAGUCUCAGUCCGGAUUGAAGUCUGCAACUCGUA
Molecule: ribosomal RNA, 521 nt
Filed under: uncultured bacterium
Lineage: Bacteria
Description: bacterial SSU rRNA
Rfam family: Bacterial small subunit ribosomal RNA
Source: RNAcentral